Long non-coding RNA from Mauremys reevesii (Reeves's turtle), 264 nucleotides. RefSeq lists it as uncharacterized. The record is from RefSeq and is a predicted model, not a curated record. Lineage: Eukaryota; Metazoa; Chordata; Testudines; Geoemydidae. The transcript has 2 exons.
CGGUGGGCAGGGCUUAUUGGGUCAAGGGAUGGGGUUAAGUUUUGAUUGACAAUAGGGCCCUUAUACUCCUCGCUCCCGCUACCCAAAAUUGGAACACGACAGAGGCAACUAUACUACUGGGCAGUAUUCGCCGUUGUCCUACUGCUCAGAUGCUGUGCUGGCCAUGUAUCUCACAAACAAGGUCGUCUGUAAAUAACCCAGCUGCAGAUUUUGUAUAUACUGUGUACAUAUUUCCUACUAAACUGUUUGAAGUAUCUGUUUCAA